RNAcentral lists this long non-coding RNA (267 nucleotides) under Elaeis guineensis (African oil palm). Its description in RNAcentral is "long non-coding RNA (EGUI_LNC041897)". The record is from RNAcentral. Lineage: Eukaryota; Viridiplantae; Streptophyta; Magnoliopsida; Arecales; Arecaceae.
CUUCCUUUUGAAAAUUCACUUACAUUCUAUGGAUUUUACCCUUUCAGGUGGGUCAACUAAUGUCCGUAUAUCAUUGACCUUCAUGGAUUUUAUUUUAGACUUCAUGGCUUCAAGCCACUUAUCAGAGUCAGAGCAUCCAUAUAGGUGAUCAGAUCCUCAUUGUUCUCAUCGAGUUCAGUAGGAUCACCAUCUCAGACCAAAAAAUCAUAAUAUCUAUCCAACUGACACACGCGGUACUCUAUCGGAUCUCCAUAAUGGUGCAUCUAC